This 396-nucleotide long non-coding RNA is filed under the name Malus domestica (apple). Its description in RNAcentral is "long non-coding RNA (MDOM_LNC017130)". Lineage: Eukaryota; Viridiplantae; Streptophyta; Magnoliopsida; Rosales; Rosaceae. The record is from RNAcentral.
AGGAAGAUUUGUUACAAAGUGAGAGAAUAUUGCAGGAACUCCUGUUGCCAACUCUGAGUAUAUGAGACCUAUCCCAGGCACCCGGACUAUACCAAGGCUCGGGCCAAGACCAAGUAGCCAUUUUAACGAGACUUUGUUGUGAAGAUCAUAGUUAUACUUCUUCCGUGUACCAUAAUGCCAGACAUACAUAACAAUCAUAAAGAUGAACGAGAGAACAAAAGGGACCCAUCCUCCCUGAGGUACUUUAAUGAGUGCUGCUGAUAAGUACACUCCCUCAAUGAACCAGAAAAAAAUCAGAAAAAUCGCAGCCAGAACCACACUUUUCUGCCAAACAAAGAUUAUUACCAGUGCCAUAAGGAAUGUCGUGAUAAACAUAACCAUCAUGCAAGCAAGUCC